This 390-nucleotide ribosomal RNA is filed under the name Agathemera crassa. Its description in RNAcentral is "partial 12S ribosomal RNA". The record is from RNAcentral. Lineage: Eukaryota; Metazoa; Arthropoda; Insecta; Phasmatodea; Agathemeridae.
UAAACUAGGAUUAGAUACCCUAUUAUUUUAAUCGUUAAUUUGUCCUGAGUAGUAAUAGUUAUGUUCUUUAAACUCAAAGAAUUUGGCGGUGUUUUAGUCUAUUUAGAGGAAUUUGUCCCGUAAUCGAUAGUCCUCGUUUUAUCUUUCUUAAUUUUGUUUAAUCAGUAUGUAUAUCGCCGUUAUAAGUUUAUUUUUUUAGAAAUUAAAAUUUACUUUAAAAUUUAAUAAUUUGUAUUUCAGGUCAAGGUGCAGCUUAUAAUUAAGUGGAGAUGAAUUACAAUAUUAUCUUAAUAUAUGGAUUAUAAAUUAAAAUUUUAUAUGAAGGUGGAUUUAAUAGUAAUUUUAAUAAUAAUGUUAUUUUGAUUUUAGCUCUAAAACAAGUACACAUCG